Molecule: long non-coding RNA, 1513 nt
Organism: Gossypium raimondii (Peruvian cotton)
Lineage: Eukaryota; Viridiplantae; Streptophyta; Magnoliopsida; Malvales; Malvaceae
Exons: 3
Source: RefSeq, a predicted model, not a curated record
UGCAAUUCUAUUUUUUGACGGUUACUUCAUUUAUUUUUCAUUUCAUUUUGGAUUUUAUGCUUCGUUUCUCAUUUUUGCUCUACUUUUUUCUUUUUCUUUAUGUGGUUGUUUCUACUUUUUGUAAGUUGUAACGUGGCUGUAGCACAGAAUCAGAGAUGCAUUAUUUUUAAUUUCUUAGAUUUGUUUGAUAUAAUUUUUUUUUUCUAGUGAGAAAUCAUCUGGCGCUUAUCUUGAGUUGAAAUCACUUUUUUUUAUUAGCCUUGGUUGGUUUUGCUUUUGUGUUUUCUCACUUUAGAAGAUUUUAAGAGGUAGUAGUUUGUAGAUCUGUGUUUGUAAGCUAUAAAUUUAAUUGAUUCUAAACAUUUUUCCUAAAAGUAAAUGAUCAGCUGUGGAAUCACCGCGCGAGAGACUCUGCUACGAAAUCAUCUUUAAAACAAAAAUUAUUUUCCAAUUAUUUUUCCAAACAGAGUAAAAGAAUCAAUUAGUAGAAUUCUUCUUUUCUUUCCUUUUUCUUUGGCAGUUUUCUUUUGGGAUUUUGAGAGUUUUACGUUGAAUUGUUUUGUUAUUGUUAAAUUUGACGAUACUCUGCUGCUAAAGUGCUAAGAAAACCUUCAGUUUUUAAAGCAGAAAAGCUCCAUGUCAAAUGCAAAACUUAGGCAGUUUUCUGAAAUCGAAACGGCUUUUACCUAAUAUGUGGUGACAAUUUUGUUUUCGCUGCAUGGUUAUACAAGCAUUUGAUUGGUUAAGUUAUAUAAUUGAUAACACGAGAGAAAAAUCAAAGAAGAAAUGCAACAAAUCAAUGAAAUUUCUACAAUAAUUAUUUAUUAUUGCUGUUUAAAUCUUAUUCAAGUCCUCUAACUCUCACUGUGCUCCACAUCCUCCUUUGAAUGAAAGGAUCCUUUCGUCAAUGACCAGGAGGUCCGUCGCUGCUCACCCAUGGCAUGAUCUUGAAAUUAGACUUGGAGCUCCUACGGUUUUUAACUGCACUACAUUUAGCAGCAUGGGCCAGGCAAGCACAUGUAGUGAGUUAUCUUUGCAAGCAAAAGGCUGAUGUUGGUGCUGUUGCCAUGGAUGGCAUGGGUGCGAUUCAUUUUGCGACACAAAAAGGACAUCUAGAGGUUGUCUGAACUUUUCUUUCAUCAGGAGUUUCAGUGAGAGCCACUAAUCGCAAGGGAUUCACUCCACUUCACUAUGCUGUUCAAGGGUCCCAUCUAGAAGUAAUCAAAGUCUUAUUAAAGAAAGGUGCAAGUGGCUAGAAAUUUAAUAGCAGAUGGUGAAUCAGUUAAUGCAACGCUAGCAGUUGGAGUAGUGUUUUAUGAUUAGAUUAUUUAGCCUAAGUUUUGGUUUUUGUGUGUUUUGAUUUAAACCCAGCAAGCUUCCUGGCAGAAGACAUUGCCAUUUUUUUAGUUGUAACUGGCUAGCAAUUUGAUAGCAGAUGCACUUAAGUAGUUACGCCAAACAAAGUCUAUAACAAUUUACUAAGGAUUUGGUAUAUGUCUUGUCUUUUGUUCAA